Molecule: ribosomal RNA, 253 nt
Filed under: uncultured bacterium
Lineage: Bacteria
Description: partial 16S ribosomal RNA
Rfam family: Bacterial small subunit ribosomal RNA
Source: RNAcentral
UACGUGGGGUGCAAGCGUUAUCCGGAAUCAUUGGGCGUAAAGAGUUCGUAGGCGUUUUUUCAAGUUUCAUUUGAAAUCCCGAGGCCUAACCUCGGAACUGGAUGAAAAACUGAGAAGAUUGAGUCUGUUAGGGGGUACUGGAACUCAUAGUGUAGCAGUGAAAUGCGUUGAUAUUAUGAGGAACACCAAGGGCGAAGGCAGGUACCUGGGACAUGACUGACGCUGAGGAACGAAAGCUAGGGGAGCGAAAGGG